RNAcentral lists this long non-coding RNA (594 nucleotides) under Rattus norvegicus (Norway rat). RNAcentral describes it as "long non-coding RNA NONRATT009911". The record is from RNAcentral. Lineage: Eukaryota; Metazoa; Chordata; Mammalia; Rodentia; Muridae.
UACAUGUUGUCCAGCACCGUUUCCUCCAAAAUCCUGCGGGCCAUAGCCUUAAAGGAGGGCUUUCAUUUCGAGGAAACAUUAACUGGCUUCAAGUGGAUGGGAAACAGAGCCAAACAGCUAAUAGACCAGGGGAAGACCGUCCUAUUUGCAUUUGAAGAAGCUAUUGGUUCUUCCUACCAGUAAGAGCAGCCAGAUGAUCACCUUCACCUUCGUUAAUGGAGGGGUGGCAACCAUGCGGACCAGUGGGACCGAGCCCAAAAUCAAGUAUUAUGCAGAGCUGUGUGCUCCCCCUGGCAACAGUGAUCCGGAGCAGCUGAAAAGAGAACUAGAUGAGCUAGUCGGUGCCAUUGAAGAACAUUUUUUCCAGCCACAAAAGUAUAACCUACAGCCAAAAGCAGAAUAAAAUAUUCCAGUGCUGGAUAUGAUUAAAUUUACCUCCAAUUAGGCUGAACUUGAUUUUUAAAGCAACAUUUUUUAGGACCAAAUGAUUCAGAUAAUCGUCACAAGUAUUUCUAGGAUAGCCACUUUAUAGAAAUAUUUAUUCCUGUGUUUCUGCCAGUUACUUAUAAAGUAAAAUAAAAUAAAUCAAAUAGG